RNAcentral lists this ribosomal RNA (497 nucleotides) under uncultured bacterium. Its description in RNAcentral is "partial 16S ribosomal RNA". It matches the Rfam family "Bacterial small subunit ribosomal RNA", at positions 28 to 507 of the family's 1533-position model. The record is from RNAcentral.
GAUGAACGCUGGCGGCGUGCCUAAUACAUGCAAGUCGAGCGAACAGAUGAGGAGCUUGCUCCUCUGACGUUAGCGGCGGACGGGUGAGUAACACGUGGAUAACCUACCUAUAAGACUGGGAUAACUUCGGGAAACCGGAGCUAAUACCGGAUAAUAUAUUGAACCGCAUGGUUCAAUAGUGAAAGACGGUUUUGCUGUCACUUAUAGAUGGAUCCGCGCCGCAUUAGCUAGUUGGUAAGGUAACGGCUUACCAAGGCGACGAUGCGUAGCCGACCUGAGAGGGUGAUCGGCCACACUGGAACUGAGACACUGUCCAGACUCCUACGGGAGGCAGCAGUAGGGAAUCUUCCGCAAUGGGCGAAAGCUUGACGGAGCAACGCCGCGUGAGUGAUGAAGGUCUUCGGAUCGUAAAACUCUGUUAUUAGGGAAGAACAAAUGUGUAAGUAACUAUGCACGUCUUGACGGUACCUAAUCAGAAAGCCACGGCUAACUACGUG